CCUACGGGUGGCUGCAGUGGGGAAUAUUGGACAAUGGGGGGAACCCUGAUCCAGCCAUGCCGCGUGUGUGAAGAAGGCCCUCGGGUUGUAAAGCACUUUCAGUGAGGAAGAACGCCUGGUGGUUAAUACCCAUCAGGAAAGACAUCACUCACAGAAGAAGCACCGGCUCAACUCCGUGCCAGCAGCCGCGGUAAUACGGAGGGUGCGAGCGUUAAUCGGAAUUACUGGGCGUAAAGCGCGCGUAGGUGGCUUGAUAAGCCGGUUGUGAAAGCCCCGGGCUCAACCUGGGAACGGCAUCCGGAACUGUCAAGCUAGAGUGCAGGAGAGGAAGGUAGAAUUCCCGGUGUAGCGGUGAAAUGCGUAGAGAUCGGGAGGAAUACCAGUGGCGAAGGCGGCCUUCUGGACUGACACUGACACUGAGGUGCGAAAGCGUGGGUAGCAAACAGGAUUAGAUACCCGGGUAGUC
This 466-nucleotide ribosomal RNA is filed under the name Vreelandella stevensii. RNAcentral's name for it is "partial 16S ribosomal RNA". It matches the Rfam family "Bacterial small subunit ribosomal RNA", at positions 338 to 795 of the family's 1533-position model. The record is from RNAcentral. Lineage: Bacteria; Pseudomonadati; Pseudomonadota; Gammaproteobacteria; Oceanospirillales; Halomonadaceae.